GACGAACGCUGGCGGCGUGCCUAAUACAUGCAAGUCGAGCGCAACUCUUCGGAGUUGAGCGGCGAACGGGUGAGUAACACGUGGGCAACCUGCCCUCAAGCCUGGGAUAACACCGGGAAACCGGUGCUAAUACGGGAUAGACUUUUUUUCUGCAUAGAGGAGAAGAGAAAGGCUUAGGCCACUUGAGGAUGGGCCCGCGGCGCAUUAGCUAGUUGGUGAGGUAGAGGCUCACCAAGGCGACGAUGCGUAGCCGACCUGAGAGGGUGAACGGCCACACUGGGACUGAGACACGGCCCAGACUCCUACGGGAGGCAGCAGUAGGGAAUUUUCCGCAAUGGGGGGAACCCUGACGGAGCAACGCCGCGUGAGUGAAGACGGCCUUCGGGUUGUAAAUCUCUGUUCUUAAGGAAGAAGAAAGUGACGGUACUUAAGGAGAAAGCCCCGGCUAACUACGUGCCAGCAGCCGCGGUAAUACGUAGGGGGCAAGCGUUGUCCGGAAUUAUUGGGCGUAAAGGGCGCGUAGGCGGUGAUAUAAGUCAGAUGUGAAAGGCUGGGGCUCAACCCCAGAGCUGCAACUGAAACUGUAUCGCUGGAGUGCAGGAGAGGGGAGUGGAAUUCCCGGUGUAGCGGUGGAAUGCGUAGAGAUCGGGAGGAACACCAGUGGCGAAGGCGGCUCUCUGGCCUGCAACUGACGCUGAGGCGCGAAAGCGUGGGGAGCGAACAGGAUUAGAUACCCUGGUAGUCCACGCCGUAAACGAUGAGUGCUAGGUGUUGGGGUUUUCGGACCUCAGUGCCGAAGGAAACCCAUUAAGCACUCCGCCUGGGGAGUACGGCCGCAAGGCUGAAACUCAAAGGAAUUGACGGGGGCCCGCACAAGCGGUGGAGCAUGUGGUUUAAUUCGAAGCAACGCGAAGAACCUUACCAGGGCUUGACAUCCCUCUGAAUAUAGUAGAGAUACUAUAGACCUUCGGGACAGAGGAGACAGGUGGUGCAUGGUUGUCGUCAGCUCGUGUCGUGAGAUGUUGGGUUCAGUCCCGCAACGAGCGCAACCCUUAUUCUUAGUUGCCAGCACGUGAAGGUGGGCACUCUAAGGAGACAGCCGGUGAAAGCCGGAGGAAGGUGGGGAUGACGUCAAAUCAUCAUGCCCCUUACGUCCUGGGCUACACACGUGCUACAAUGGCUGGUACAAAGGGAAGCAAAGCCGAGAGGUGGAGCAAAUCCGAGAAAGCCAGUCACAGUUCGGAUCGCAGGCUGCAACUCGCCUGCGUGAAGUAGGAAUCGCUAGUAAUCGUGGAUCAGCAUGCCACGGUGAAUACGUUCCCGGGCCU
RNAcentral lists this ribosomal RNA (1328 nucleotides) under uncultured bacterium. RNAcentral describes it as "bacterial SSU rRNA". It matches the Rfam family "Bacterial small subunit ribosomal RNA", at positions 28 to 1381 of the family's 1533-position model. The record is from RNAcentral.